Grus americana (Whooping crane) is the source of this 1944-nucleotide RNA transcript. It is a transcript of the gene named carbonic anhydrase 7, with no coding region annotated. The record is from RefSeq and is a predicted model, not a curated record. NCBI's taxonomy places the organism in Eukaryota, Metazoa, Chordata, Aves, Gruiformes, Gruidae. The transcript has 8 exons.
UGCAGCUCUCCUAUAAUGACUGGCCACCACAGUUGGGGAUAUGGGCAGGAUGACGGUAGGUUAUAGCAUUUCCAUGCUGCAUCUCUCUAUCUUCCCCCACUCAUUUUCUUUCCAGAACUGUUGCCUGAGCCCUGCAGAGCUGCCUGCAUUUUGAUAUCUGCAAGCAUCAAGUAUAUACAGCAGGACCUUCAGAAUGGCACAAGUCUUAUCCUAUUGCCCAAGGGAACCGCCAGUCACCUAUUGAUAUAGUUUCUGCAAGAGCAGUUUAUGAUCCUAAUCUGAAGCCACUUGUUAUCUCCUAUGAAUCAUGUACAUCUCUCAACAUCUCCAACAAUGGCCAUUCGGUUAUGGUUGAGUUUGAAGAUACUGAUGACAAGACAGCCAUCAGUGGUGGUCCCUUUGAGAAUCCAUUUCGGCUAAAGCAGUUUCACUUUCACUGGGGGACAAAGCACAACCAGGGAUCGGAGCAUACAAUUGAUGGCAAACCUUUUCCGUGUGAGCUCCACUUAGUUCACUGGAAUGCCAGAAAAUAUGCAACAUUUGGAGAAGCAGCAGCAGCUCCAGAUGGCUUGGCAGUAGUUGGUGUUUUCUUGGAGAUUGGGAAAGAACAUGCCAAUAUGAACAGACUCACUGAUGCUUUGUACAUGGUAAAAUUUAAAGGAACAAAAGCUCAAUUUAGAAGCUUCAACCCCAAAUGUCUCCUGCCUUUGAGUCUAGAUUAUUGGACAUACCUUGGUUCUUUGACAACACCUCCCCUUAAUGAGAGUGUAACAUGGAUAGUGCUGAAAGAACCCAUCAGAAUUUCUGAGAAACAGCUGGAGAAAUUCCGCAUGCUCCUCUUUACCAGUGAGGAAGACCAGAGGAUCCAAAUGGUGAAUAAUUUUCGCCCUCCUCAGCCUCUUAAGGGGAGAGUUGUUCGAGCUUCCUUCAAGGCCUGAAGAAAACUGAUAAUGGCCCCGAGAUAUCCAAGAGCUUCCACACCUGAGAUACUAUAAACAGAAACUCUCUGAUUUUCAGAUCACUCAUGGAACACACAAGAUGGCCAUUUCCAUGAACACUCUACUCAGAGGGGGACAAUCUUUUAUAUUUUGAAUUGCUCAUUCUUUUGAGAAUGGGAUCUUUUUAACUAGCACUUUUUAAUAUAAGGGAUAGUUGAGUAAACGAGAGUGUUCUCCAAGACCUGAAACACUACAAAUUAAGAAGAAAUUAAAAUCCCACUUAAUAUUAAAUGGGACAUUAUGUAGUGAUCUACUAGUACUGAUGUCCACAACUUCUAAUUCUCUCAUUUAAUACGUGAUGAAACAGUAGUAAAGAAUUUUGGACAAAUGGGACUUAAAUUUUUUCCUUACUGAUCUCUUGGUAGUGUUUGCUUAGCUCUGUCUAAUUUAAAGAUUGCUUUCACUGUAUUCUUGCUGUCUGUUGACACAUAUCAUGCACGUGAGUAGCACUAGAAAAAGUUCUUUACUCACCUCAAGUAUGUACUAGUAUGAAAACUACAUAUAUAUUUUGAAGUUAUUGUUCUAAGAUGAUAUUUUAGAACUAAUUUAAAAUAACUGUGUAAAUGCUGUGUUUAAAAGCAGGCAAUUUUAUUGCACAGUGUUGUUCAGACAUCUCUUUCUUUCAGCCCAUGCAGCAUACAUAACUAAUGCCUUUGUCAAGUUUGAAAAGAACAUCUACAGCAAUUCAGAAAGGGAGAAAGACACUGGAUGUGAAGUGCAGUAUAAGGAAUGGAAGACUAGAAUUCUAGACCUAACUCUUCUACAGUUUUUCUGAUACGCUGACCUAAAGUUUCCUGUUCCUCAGUUUCCUUUUAAAUAAAAUGAGUAACACUGACCUACCUCACAGGGAUGUUGUGAGGGCUAAUUUAGUAUUGUUUUACAUGUGAGAUUCUUAUACAGCAGAUGCUAAAGGAGACAGAAAAUCAUUACAAAAUGCAAUGUUUUU